Molecule: ribosomal RNA, 274 nt
Filed under: uncultured bacterium
Lineage: Bacteria
Description: partial 16S ribosomal RNA
Rfam family: Bacterial small subunit ribosomal RNA
Source: RNAcentral
ACUCCUACGGGAGGCAGCAGUGGGGAAUAUUGGACAAUGGGGGAACCCGUGAUCCAGCCAUGCCGCGUGUGUGAAGAAGGCCUUUUGGUUGUAAAGCACUUUAAAGCGAGGAGGAGGCUUACCUGGUUAAUACUGGGAUAAGUGGACGUUACUCGCAGAAUAAGCACCGGCUAACUCUGUGCCAGCAGCCGCGGUAAUACAGNGGGUGCAAGCGUUAANCGGAUUUACUGGGCGUAAANCGCGNGUAGGUGGCUAAUUAAGUCAAAUGUGAAAU